CGUAGGCGGAGCUUUAAGUCUGGCCUGAAAGCCCCCGGCUCAACCGGGGAGGGUGGCUGGAAACUGGAGUUCUUGAGGGCGAUAGGGGAGUGUGGAAUUCCUGGUGUAGCGGUGAAAUGCGUAGAGAUCAGGAGGAACACCCGUGGCGAAGGCGGCACUCUGGGUCGGCCCUGACGCUGAGGCGCGAAAGCGUGGGGAGCGAACG
RNAcentral lists this ribosomal RNA (205 nucleotides) under uncultured bacterium. RNAcentral describes it as "partial 16S ribosomal RNA". It matches the Rfam family "Bacterial small subunit ribosomal RNA", at positions 570 to 774 of the family's 1533-position model. The record is from RNAcentral.